RNAcentral lists this ribosomal RNA (253 nucleotides) under uncultured bacterium. RNAcentral's name for it is "partial 16S ribosomal RNA". It matches the Rfam family "Bacterial small subunit ribosomal RNA", at positions 524 to 776 of the family's 1533-position model. The record is from RNAcentral.
UACGUAGGGGGCAAGCGUUGUCCGGAUUUACUGGGUGUAAAGGGUGCUCAGGUGGUUAUGCAAGUCAGGGGUGAAAUCCCAGAGCUUAACUCUGGAACUGCCUUUGAUACUGCAUAGCUUGUGUACGGAAGAGGCUGAUGGAAUUCCUGGUGUAGCAGUGAAAUGCGUAGAUAUCAGGAAGAACACCAGUGGCGAAGGCGGUCAGCUGGUCCGGUACAGACACUAAAGCACGAAAGCGUGGGGAGCAAACAGG